RNAcentral lists this ribosomal RNA (358 nucleotides) under uncultured bacterium. RNAcentral's name for it is "bacterial SSU rRNA". It matches the Rfam family "Bacterial small subunit ribosomal RNA", at positions 8 to 350 of the family's 1533-position model. The record is from RNAcentral.
AGAGUUUGAUCCUGGCUCAGGACGAACGCUGGCGGCGUGCUUAACACAUGCAAGUCGAACGGAGAACUUAUUUCGGUAAGUUCUUAGUGGCGAACGGGUGAGUAACGCGUGGGCAACCUGCCCUCCAGUUGGGGACAACAUUCCGAAAGGGAUGCUAAUACCGAAUGUGCUCCCUCCUCCGCAUGGAGGAGGGAGGAAAGAUGGCCUCUGCUUGCAAGCUAUCGCUGGAAGAUGGGCCCGCGUCUGAUUAGCUAGUUGGUGGGUAACGGCUCACCAAGGCGAUGAUCAGUAGCCGGUCUGAGAGGAUGAACGGCCACAUUGGAACUGAGACGACGGUCCAAACGUCCUACGGGAGGCA